Molecule: non-coding RNA, 494 nt
Organism: Sphaerodactylus townsendi
Lineage: Eukaryota; Metazoa; Chordata; Lepidosauria; Squamata; Sphaerodactylidae
Source: the annotation of a RefSeq genome assembly
CUGUGUUUUUUUCCGUUCCUCAUUAGCUCACCUGAUCGAUUCACCAUGUUCUGGCUUCCCAAUCUCAUCCUUCUAGCCUUGUGGUGCUCAGGUUCAGACUCUCAGCCUGUACUCACUCAGCCCUCAUCAGCAUCAAUGUCACUAGGACAGACAGUGAAGCUCUCCUGUGUCAUGAGAACGGGACUCAGCAUCAGUGGCUACUAUGUGUACUGGUACCAACAAAAGCCUGGGAACCCCCCAAGAUAUCUCCUUUAUUAUCGUUCAGAUUCCAACAAGGGCCAGGGCUCUGGAGUCCCGUCCCGCUUCUCUGGGUCCAAAGACACAUCAGCAAACACUGGCUAUUUAACCAUUGCGGGAGCCCUGGCAGAGGACGAGGCUGAUUAUUACUGUGCAGUGUGGCAUAGCGAUGCGUUUCACAGUGAUGCAGUUGAAUGGAGAAGCCAGACAAAAACCUCUUCUUGUCCUUGAUGCAGAACAAUGAAGCUUUGCAAGGU